AUGAAAGGAGAAGUAGAAGAAGAGGAAGAAGAAGAAGAAGAAGAGGGAUCGGUGGAAGAUGAGCAAUAGUCGCCGGAG
Molecule: small RNA, 78 nt
Filed under: Arabidopsis thaliana (thale cress)
Lineage: Eukaryota; Viridiplantae; Streptophyta; Magnoliopsida; Brassicales; Brassicaceae
Description: ATSL144230
Source: RNAcentral